UACGUAGGGUGCAAGCGUUAAUCGGAAUUACUGGGCGUAAAGCGUGCGCAGGCGGUUGUGCAAGACAGAUGUGAAAUCCCCGGGCUCAACCCUGGGAAUUGCAUUUGUGACUGCACGGCUAGAGUGUGUCAGAGGGGGUAGAAUUCCACGUGUGAGCAGUGAAAUGCGUAGAGAUGUGGAGGAAUACCGAUGGCGAAGGCAGCCCCCUGGGAUAACACUGACGCUCAUGCACGAAGCGUGG
RNAcentral lists this ribosomal RNA (241 nucleotides) under uncultured bacterium. Its description in RNAcentral is "partial 16S ribosomal RNA". It matches the Rfam family "Bacterial small subunit ribosomal RNA", at positions 524 to 764 of the family's 1533-position model. The record is from RNAcentral.